UUCAUCGCGGGGAUAAUCAAAAAGCGAGCGACACCUGCUAUACCUCGCGACGCGUAAAACAGCAGCAGAUCUAAAUUCAUUAUACAUAGGCGCACAGUCGCGCAAACAGCAGUAACGUGUGAUUCGUCGCUCGUUACACGGCGAGUAACGAGAAAACGUGCUCGUCUAAAAAUUAAUAAUACAGAGCUCGCGGUAAAUCCCCCGGAGAAAGCCGCAGUGAGAGAGAAAGAAAAGGGCGCAGCAGCAGCGCAUCCGCGCAGGGAUCGAUGAACAGAAAGCCAAACUCACGCGUCGUCCAAACCCCCUGACCACAUUGACCUGCCCAGGUCCGCAUCUCGGGAAUCUCGCGCGGAGCUCGCGCGCAGCGUCAUUAUGCGCAAAACGCCCCCACGCACGUAUACCAGAGAGAAAGAAGGCUAUAUAUACGCAUAGUCGGUCCUUGGCAUCAGAGCUGCUAUUCCGCUCGAACGGCUGCAUAAUUCCUCUCGGCGCAUCCGAGCUCGAGGUAAUACGCUAAUAUUCUGUAUACGUAUAUGCAGGAGGAACGGGAGGGAAACUUGCGCUGUAUACUCGACUCGUGCACGUUAUUAGGCGUCGCUGGAACGGGCAAGAUUGGCUGCGGCUCAUUCGCUAAUGACGCGACGCUCGGGAAUGUAAAAUCGGCUCUCGUUGAUUAAAAAGCUCCCGAGUAGUUGGCUUAUUUUGGCCCGGAGCAUAUAGAGAAAAAUAAGUAGACAACGUGCGUCAUUUGAAAAACAGCUGAAAGUCGAUGAAAAUAUUUACGCGCUCGAGGCCUUGCGUAACCUCUUUCCGCGAUGGACACGUCAGGGGCCGAAGCGCCCCAAGGCGAAGCGAUAGCCGACUCGCCGGACAACAGCGAGAAUGACGACGAUCUGACCUGCUGUCGGCGCGCGACCUGCUGCUAUCCCUCUCUCCGGGACGUCCUGGUGACGGAGCCGGUGAACGAGCGCUUCUGCGGGCCGUUCACCUACGCCAACCUCUUCUGGCUCAUCACCGUCCUGGCUAUGCUCCUCAUGAGCUACGCCAGCCUCUACUUCUACAUCGGCGAUCCUCUGCUACCCGGAGGCAGCAUCUUCGGCCUCUUCGCCGUCGUCGUAUUUGCCUACUUCCUCGGCUGGACUCUGGCCUACCUGCCCUAUUUGAAUCUGCCGCCGGUUUUCGGGAUGCUUCUGGCCGGGAUCGUGGUGCGCAACCUCGAUUGGUACGACAUCCGCGAGUCUCUGGGCACAGGCGUGAGCUCGAAGAUCCGCACGUUCUCGGUGACGUUCGUAAUGCUGCGCGCGGGUCUGCAGCUGACCUCGUCCGCUCUGCGAGAGCAUCCGCUCUUCGUGCUCAAUCUCGCGGUCGUGCCCUGCACCGUCGAGAUGCUCACCGUCGCCCUCUGCUGCCGCUGCUUGCUCGACUACCCCUGGGCUUGGGCUUUUCUCACCGGGAGCAUAAUCGCGUGCAUAUCGCCGGUAGUGCCGGUCAACUGCAUACUGGCCUUAGCCGAGCGCGGCUACGGCGAGGACAAAGACAUGGCGACGCUGCUAUUCACCGCCGCCUCAAUAGACGACAUCCACAUUGUCUCGGUGUACGCCAUUUGUUUUGCCUUUAUCUUUACCCACGAUGAUCAGCCGGUGCGCUGGUGGUCCUACGUGCCGGGAAGCUUGCGAGACCUGCUGAUGGGAGUGACUUGCGGCGCAGCUCUGGGACUGUUCUUCGUCUUCUUCCCCCACCGGAGACACAAAUACGCACUCUGGUACCGGGUCUGCGGCCUCGUGCUGGGCUCGCUCAUGUGCACGAGCGGCGCCUCGAAGAUAGCGAUAACGGGCGGCGGCUUCCUGGCCACCAUCAUCAUGUCCCUGAUCGCCACUACGGGCUGGCGCGUUCUCAGCGUGCCCUUCGACGUAAAGCCGCUGCGCAAAGCCGUGCACAUAAUGUGGCACUUCAUGCAGCCGCUCCUCGUGGGCGUCAUCGGCGCCGACAUCGAUUUUCGCAACUGGUCCCUCGCCAGGUUCGGGCUUUACAUUCUCUGCAUCGCCUUGGGCCUUUUGAUGCGCACUGCCUUCGCAUACCUGGCCACCCUCCACGCCCCCUUCAACGUGAGAGAACGAGUCUUCGUCGCCUUGUCCUGGCUAUCGAAGGGGACGCUCCAGGCAGCCCUGGCGCCGAUGACGUUCGAGCAAGCGCGCCAGAACGACGAUCCGACGGAAUUGGCACUGGCUAUAGACGUCGUGCGGAUGUCGGUCGUCUCGAUAGUGUUCCUGGCGCCGCUGGGGGCAAUAAUCAUGAUGCUGACCGGGCCGCUGCUCCUCGGCAGGACCUCCGACGAGGAGCACCGCAGACGCCGCGAACUUAGCUAUCUCAGGAUCUUGAGCCUUCAGCCGCUCAGAAAACGACGCAGCACCGCUAUACGUGAGCUCUGACCGACGGCAGGAGGCGCGAUAACGCGACGAAUCUGCUCUAUUUUCUGCCCUCGCCUCGGGACGCGAUGGCGUAUCAAUUGGUCGAAUUCUUUUGGGGUAGCGUUAUUUCUGACCUGGACAUAAGUACAAAGCAGGUAUGCAGACGCCUAAUGGUAUUUACCCGAUGCGCACCAGUGGGCGGAAUUGGCACUGGCUAUAGACGUCGUGCGGAUGUCGGUCGUCUCGAUAUUGUUCCUGGCGCCGCUGGGGGGGCGAUAAUUAUGAUAUGCUGACCGGGCCGCUGCUCCUCGGCAGAACCUCCGACGAGGAGCACCGCAGACGCCGCGAACUUAGCUACACCGAGAGAAAUGUUGAGUUGGAUUAACCGAAAAUUCCGGCAGUUUUUAGCACUACCGCUGUUUUUACCUGGCACGCGUGGAGGAGCCAAGCUUGGACUACUGCAAACUCCGGUAGAAUCUGCCUGAGUCUACCGCUAAAACAGCCGCUCAGAAAACGACGCAGCACCGCUGUACGUGUGCUAUGACCGAGGGCAGGAGGCGCGAUAACGCGGCGAAUCUGCUCUAUUUUUUUCCCUCGCCUCGGGACACGAUGGCUUGUUCUUAGCUUUUAUUAAAGGAACGAAUACUUGUU
Molecule: RNA transcript, 3059 nt
Organism: Nasonia vitripennis (jewel wasp)
Lineage: Eukaryota; Metazoa; Arthropoda; Insecta; Hymenoptera; Pteromalidae
Gene name: sodium/hydrogen exchanger 9B1-like
Exons: 12
Source: RefSeq, a predicted model, not a curated record